Molecule: ribosomal RNA, 295 nt
Filed under: Streptococcus agalactiae
Lineage: Bacteria; Bacillati; Bacillota; Bacilli; Lactobacillales; Streptococcaceae
Description: partial 16S ribosomal RNA
Rfam family: Bacterial small subunit ribosomal RNA
Source: RNAcentral
UUAAUGAGAGUUUGAUCCUGGCUCAGGACGAACGCUGGCGGCGUGCCUAAUACAUGCAAGUAGAACGCUGAGGUUUGGUGUUUACACUAGACUGAUGAGUUGCGAACGGGUGAGUAACGCGUAGGUAACCUGCCUCAUAGCGGGGGAUAACUAUUGGAAACGAUAGCUAAUACCGCAUAAGAGUAAUUAACACAUGUUAGUUAUUUAAAAGGAGCAAUUGCUUCACUGUGAGAUGGACCUGCGUUGUAUUAGCUAGUUGGUGAGGUAAAGGCUCACCAAGGCGACGAUACAUAGC